Dama dama (fallow deer) is the source of this 548-nucleotide long non-coding RNA. RefSeq lists it as uncharacterized. The record is from RefSeq and is a predicted model, not a curated record. The transcript has 3 exons. Lineage: Eukaryota; Metazoa; Chordata; Mammalia; Artiodactyla; Cervidae.
UUUAUACCAAAGAGAUUUUCACUUGAAAACCAGGGAAGCUUUUCAGCAAAGAAGCAGACGUGGAGGAGCAGUGGGAUCUCAAAAUGAAGCUGAAGAAAAGCAGGACAGUGAAAACCACUUUUAGAGCUAUGAGUAAGACUUUUGUUAAAUGUGAAAAACCUUCAUUGAAAGUCACCAGAAAGAAAAAGGAACUGGAGAUGGGGGUCUCCCUAUUGAAGGUUGAAAUGGUGACAUCCACUGCUGACAUUAUUGAAUGGCUAAUAAAGAAUUUAUUUAUUGUAAUACCUCACAGACAUGGUACCAUACCCACAUCCAUUUAUGUCACCUGCCUGUGGCUGGUAAGAUAAUGUCGUGGUCCACCCUGUGUUCAGUGAGACUGGAUCUGAUCUGUCAGUGAAUAGUUGCAGACAGUCUUGUGCUGUGUUCCUGAUCAAAAAGGCUUCUUAAUAUAUUGGAAUAACACUUUUUUAGUAUGCAAAAUACUUUAUUUUGAUUUGCAGAAUGGAAUUUUUUUGUCUCAUGUUUCGAAUUUCUUUUGUAUUUCUUUU